GAUGAACGCUGGCGGCGUGCCUAAUACAUGCAAGUCGAGCGAACAGACGAGGAGCUUGCUCCUCUGACGUUAGCGGCGGACGGGUGAGUAACACGUAGAUAACCUACCUAUAAGACUGGGAUAACUUCGGGAAACCGGAGCUAAUACCGGAUAAUAUUUUGAACCGCAUGGUUCGAUAGUGAAAGACGGUUUUGCUAUCACUUAUAGAUGGAUCUGCGCCGCAUUAGCUAGUUGGUAAGGUAACGGCUUACCAAGGCAACGAUACGUAGCCGACCUGAGAGGGUGAUCGGCCACACUGGAACUGAGACACGGUCCAGACUCCUACGGGAGGCAGCAGUAGGGAAUCUUCCGCAAUGGGCGAAAGCCUGACGGAGCAACGCCGCGUGAGUGAUGAAGGUCUUCGGAUCGUAAAACUCUGUUAUUAGGGAAGAACAAACGUGUAAGUAACUGUGCACGUCUUGACGGUACCUAAUCAGAAAGCCACGGCUAACUACGUG
RNAcentral lists this ribosomal RNA (497 nucleotides) under uncultured bacterium. RNAcentral's name for it is "partial 16S ribosomal RNA". It matches the Rfam family "Bacterial small subunit ribosomal RNA", at positions 28 to 507 of the family's 1533-position model. The record is from RNAcentral.